Molecule: ribosomal RNA, 1149 nt
Filed under: bacterium
Lineage: Bacteria
Description: bacterial SSU rRNA
Rfam family: Bacterial small subunit ribosomal RNA
Source: RNAcentral
CGUGGCGGCGCUACCAUGCAAGUCGAGCGGAAACGAGUUAUCUGAACCUUCGGGGAACGAUAACGGCGUCGAGCGGCGGACGGGUGAGUAAUGCCUAGGAAAUUGCCCUGAUGUGGGGGAUAACCAUUGGAAACGAUGGCUAAUACCGCAUGAUGCCUACGGGCCAAAGAGGGGGACCUUCGGGCCUCUCGCGUCAGGAUAUGCCUAGGUGGGAUUAGCUAGUUGGUGAGGUAAGGGCUCACCAAGGCGACGAUCCCUAGCUGGUCUGAGAGGAUGAUCAGCCACACUGGAACUGAGACACGGUCCAGACUCCUACGGGAGGCAGCAGUGGGGAAUAUUGCACAAUGGGCGCAAGCCUGAUGCAGCCAUGCCGCGUGUGUGAAGAAGGCCUUCGGGUUGUAAAGCACUUUCAGUCGUGAGGAAGGUGGUAACGUUAAUAGCGCUAUCAUUUGACGUUAGCGACAGAAGAAGCACCGGCUAACUCCGUGCCAGCAGCCGCGGUAAUACGGAGGGUGCGAGCGUUAAUCGGAAUUACUGGGCGUAAAGCGCAUGCAGGUGGUUUGUUAAGUCAGAUGUGAAAGCCCGGGGCUCAACCUCGGAAUAGCAUUUGAAACUGGCAGACUAGAGUACUGUAGAGGGGGGUAGAAUUUCAGGUGUAGCGGUGAAAUGCGUAGAGAUCUGAAGGAAUACCGGUGGCGAAGGCGGCCCCCUGGACAGAUACUGACACUCAGAUGCGAAAGCGUGGGGAGCAAACAGGAUUAGAUACCCUGGUAGUCCACGCCGUAAACGAUGUCUACUUGGAGGUUGUGGCCUUGAGCCGUGGCUUUCGGAGCUAACGCGUUAAGUAGACCGCCUGGGGAGUACGGUCGCAAGAUUAAAACUCAAAUGAAUUGACGGGGGCCCGCACAAGCGGUGGAGCAUGUGGUUUAAUUCGAUGCAACGCGAAGAACCUUACCUACUCUUGACAUCCAGAGAACUUUCCAGAGAUGGAUUGGUGCCUUCGGGAACUCUGAGACAGGUGCUGCAUGGCUGUCGUCAGCUCGGGUUGGGAAAUGUUGGGUUAGUCCCGAACGAGGCAACCUUAUCCUUGUUUGCACCAGGAAUGUCGGGAACCCCGGGAAAUGCCGGUGAAAACCGAGAAAGGGGGGA